ACUCCUUAACGACCGAUAGUGAACAAGUACCGUGAGGGAAAGGUGAAAAGAACCCCGGGAGGGGAGUGAAAUAGAAUCUGAAAUCAAGUGCUUACAAACAGUUGGAGCUCUAUAUCAAUUUAUUGAUAUUUAGAGUGACAGCGUACCUUUUGCAUAAUGGGUCAGCGAGUUAAUCUAUGAAGCAAGCUUAAGCCGAUAGGUGUAGGCGUAGCGAAAGCAAGUCUGAAUAGGGCG
RNAcentral lists this ribosomal RNA (234 nucleotides) under Candidatus Portiera aleyrodidarum (primary endosymbiont of Bemisia tabaci). RNAcentral describes it as "partial 23S ribosomal RNA". It matches the Rfam family "Bacterial large subunit ribosomal RNA", at positions 472 to 694 of the family's 2925-position model. Lineage: Bacteria; Pseudomonadati; Pseudomonadota; Gammaproteobacteria; Johnevansiales (SeqCode); Johnevansiaceae (SeqCode). The record is from RNAcentral.